CGGGAUCCGCCAUUUCAACUUCUUGCCGCAGACAUAUCUGCUGCCUUCUGAGUACCAGGACUUUUGUACUGCAUUCUCCAGGGAUCGCGGUCUGUGGAUUGUUAAGCCGGCUGCUUCUUCUCGUGGUCGUGGAGUCUAUGUCAUUAACUCGCCGUCUCAGAUCACGCAUGAAGACAACACAUUGGUGUCUCGUUAUGUCAGUAAUCCGCUGCUGAUAGAUGGGUUUAAGUUUGAUGUCCGGCUAUACGUGCUGAUCACUUCAUAUGAUCCUCUCGUUAUCUAUCUUUAUGAGGAAGGGCUUACCAGGU
Molecule: long non-coding RNA, 308 nt
Organism: Bombina bombina (fire-bellied toad)
Lineage: Eukaryota; Metazoa; Chordata; Amphibia; Anura; Bombinatoridae
Exons: 4
Source: RefSeq, a predicted model, not a curated record